UGGGGAAUAUUGCACAAUGGGCGCAAGCCUGAUGCAGCCAUGCCGCGUGUGUGAAGAAGGCCUUCGGGUUGUAAAGCACUUUCAGCGAGGAGGAAGGGUUCAGUGUUAAUAGCACUGUGCAUUGACGUUACUCGCAGAAGAAGCACCGGCUAACUCCGUGCCAGCAGCCGCGGUAAUACGGAGGGUGCAAGCGUUAAUCGGAAUUACUGGGCGUAAAGCGCACGCAGGCGGUUUGUUAAGUCAGAUGUGAAAUCCCGCGCUUAACGUGGAACUGCAUUUGAAACUGGC
This 288-nucleotide ribosomal RNA is filed under the name uncultured bacterium. RNAcentral's name for it is "partial 16S ribosomal RNA". It matches the Rfam family "Bacterial small subunit ribosomal RNA", at positions 355 to 637 of the family's 1533-position model. The record is from RNAcentral.